GAUCAUGGCUCAGAUUGAACGCUGGCGGCAUGCCUUACACAUGCAAGUCGAACGGUAACGGGCCUUCGGGUGCCGACGAGUGGCGAACGGGUGAGUAAUGCAUCGGAACGUACCUUUCAGUGGGGGAUAACGUAGCGAAAGUUACGCUAAUACCGCAUAUUCUGUGAGCAGGAAAGCAGGGGAUCGCAAGACCUUGCGCUGAUUGAGCGGCCGAUGUCAGAUUAGCUAGUUGGUGAGGUAAAGGCUCACCAAGGCGACGAUCUGUAGCGGGGUCUGAGAGGAUGAUCCGCCACACUGGAACUGAGACACGGUCCAGACUCCUACGGGAGGCAGCAGUGGGGAAUUUUGGACAAUGGGGCAACCCUGAUCCAGCCAUGCCGCGUGAGUGAAGAAGGCCUUCGGGUUGUAAAGCUCUUUCGGCCGGGAAGAAAUCGCAUGGGUUAAUACCCUGUGCGGAUGACGGUACCGGCAUAAGAAGCACCGGCUAACUACGUG
RNAcentral lists this ribosomal RNA (495 nucleotides) under uncultured bacterium. Its description in RNAcentral is "bacterial SSU rRNA". It matches the Rfam family "Bacterial small subunit ribosomal RNA", at positions 15 to 507 of the family's 1533-position model. The record is from RNAcentral.